Molecule: signal recognition particle RNA, 95 nt
Filed under: Methylacidimicrobium sp. AP8
Lineage: Bacteria; Pseudomonadati; Verrucomicrobiota
Description: Bacteria_small_SRP
Rfam family: Bacterial small signal recognition particle RNA
About the family: The signal recognition particle (SRP) is a universally conserved ribonucleoprotein involved in the co-translational targeting of proteins to membranes. Archaeal SRP consists of a 7S RNA and homologues of the eukaryotic SRP19 and SRP54 proteins.
Source: RNAcentral
CGCCAGGAGCGGCGGAGCUGCCGGCAAGGUAACCCCGCCAGGUCCGAAAGGAAGCACCGGUAACUUGACCGCUGUUGUCGCUGCUCCUGGUGCGC